This 72-nucleotide transfer RNA is filed under the name Bos taurus (domestic cattle). It matches the Rfam family "tRNA". From Rfam's summary of the family: Transfer RNA (tRNA) molecules are approximately 80 nucleotides in length. Their secondary structure includes four short double-helical elements and three loops (D, anti-codon, and T loops). Further hydrogen bonds mediate the characteristic L-shaped molecular structure. tRNAs have two regions of fundamental functional importance: the anti-codon, which is responsible for specific mRNA codon recognition, and the 3' end, to which the tRNAs corresponding amino acid is attached (by aminoacyl-tRNA synthetases). tRNAs cope with the degeneracy of the genetic code in two manners: having more than one tRNA (with a specific anti-codon) for a particular amino acid; and 'wobble' base-pairing, i.e. permitting non-standard base-pairing at the 3rd anti-codon position. The record is from Rfam by way of RNAcentral. RNAcentral also lists the same sequence under 2 other names. Lineage: Eukaryota; Metazoa; Chordata; Mammalia; Artiodactyla; Bovidae.
UCCCUGGUGGCUCAGAGGUUAAAGCAUCUGCCUGCAAUGCGGGAGACCUGGGUUUGAUCCCUGGGUAAGGAA